GACGAACGCUGGCGGCGCGCUUAACACAUGCAAGUCGAACGGAAAGGCCUGCUUUCCCUUGUGGAUUGCGGGUACUCGAGUGGCGAACGGGUGAGUAACACGUGAGUGAUCUGCCCCCAACUUGGGUAUAAGCCUGGGAAACUGGGUCUAAUUCCCGAUAGGACUGCAGGGUGGUGCCUGUGGUGGAAAACGAUUUUCUAGUGGUUGGGGAUGAGCUCGCGGCCUAUCAGCUUGUUGGUGGGGUAAUGGCCUACCAAGGCGGGGACGGGUAGCCGGCCUGGGAGGGUGGACGGCGACAUUGGGACUGAGAUACGGCCCAGACUCCUACGGGAGGCAGCAGUGGGGAAUAUUGCACAAUGGGCGGAAGCCUGAUGCAGCGACGCCGCGUGGGGGAUGACGGCCUUCGGGUUGUAAACUACUUUCGACCGAGAGGAAGCCACCUGGUUGGAAGGGUGGUGACGGUAGUGGUAGAAGAAGCAACGGCUAACUACGUG
Molecule: ribosomal RNA, 494 nt
Filed under: uncultured bacterium
Lineage: Bacteria
Description: partial 16S ribosomal RNA
Rfam family: Bacterial small subunit ribosomal RNA
Source: RNAcentral